UACGGGGGGGCAAGCGUUGUUCGGAAUUACUGGGCGUAAAGGGCUCGUAGGUGGCCAACUAAGUCAGACGUGAAAUCCCUCGGCUUAACCGGGGAACUGCGUCUGAUACUGGAUGGCUUGAGUUUGGGAGAGGGACGCGGAAUUCCAGGUGUAGGCGGUGAAAUGCGUAGAUAAUCAGGAGGAACACCGGUGGCGAAGGCGGAUCUCUGGGCCUUACCUGACGCUCAGGCACGAAAGCUAGG
RNAcentral lists this ribosomal RNA (242 nucleotides) under uncultured bacterium. RNAcentral describes it as "partial 16S ribosomal RNA". It matches the Rfam family "Bacterial small subunit ribosomal RNA", at positions 524 to 764 of the family's 1533-position model. The record is from RNAcentral.